This is a long non-coding RNA of Malania oleifera, 2381 nucleotides long. RefSeq lists it as uncharacterized. NCBI's taxonomy places the organism in Eukaryota, Viridiplantae, Streptophyta, Magnoliopsida, Santalales, Ximeniaceae. The transcript is spliced from 11 exons. The record is from RefSeq and is a predicted model, not a curated record.
UUUUCGUUUUGCAACGAGGAAGCACGGACAAAAGUUGGAUGUGUUCGGAUUCUGGAGACGAUCGCCAUCGACGCCGAAUCGAAGCUUCAAAUCGCAGGGAAAGAUGGGUUGCUCUCCGAAUUGUUGGUUCUGGUCGGAACAGAGAGCACAGAUCAAGUGGCAGGGGAUUUGCGGAAGAUUGUCAGAGUGAGCUGCAAGUCCUGUCUUUCCAUGCGGACUCUCCAAAAAAUAUCCACAAAGUUAAAUGUCCCUAAUUGGAGCUUCAACCAAAAUUCUUGCAGAGAGGGCCAUUCUCUAAACGUGACAUAUAGUAAUACCAGUUUGAGCAAUAUCACAUGUGACUGCUCUUUUGAUAAAAAUACUGUUUGCCAUGUCAAAACUAUAUUCCUGCUUGGAUCGUAGCUGGCUGAAAGGUCUCAACUUAAGUGGAGUUUUUCCUGCAGAAUUUGGAGAUCUUAGUUACCUACAAGAAAUCGAUCUCACUUACAACUAUAUUAGUGGCUCAAUUCCUGCGAGUUUGUCUAAGACCUCUCUCACUAGUAUUGGCUCAUUGAACAGUUUUAUAGUUGGAAAAUUUGUAACUUUCCUAAGGAAAUUGGGGACAUUGCUACUCUUCAGCAUCUUGUUUUGGAAGAUAAUCAGCUUAGUGGAUCGCUUCCUGAAAAUCUUGGAAAUUUGAGGCCCUUGAUCAGACUCCUUCUCUCUGCAAACAAUUUUACGGGAACAAUACCAGAUACAUUUAGAAACUUGAAGAACCUGACGGACUUUAGGGUUGAUGGGAAUCAAUUGUCUGGGAAAAUACUAGAUUUGAUUGGGAGUUGGACAAAAUUAAAAAGACUAGAUAUUCAAGGCACAUCCAUGGAGGGCCCCAUUCCUUCUACUAUAUCUUCUCUAACAAAUUUAACCCAAUUGAUGAUAUCUGAUUUGAAAGGAUUGAGUUCUAGAUUCCCUGAUUUGCGGGCUAUGAAAAACAUCAUAUAUCUGACACUCAGAAAUUGCUUAAUCAUCAAUUCAAUCCCAGGAUACAUUGGACAAUUGACAACUCUAAAACGUUUGUAAGUUGAUGUAGAUCAAUUUUUUUGAUAGAUAAAAUGAGAUGUCGUUGCAUUUCACCAAAGGGGUUCCAAUCCAAUGACAAAAACAAGGAAGAAGAAACAGGCACCUAAAUGACAAGUGAAAAGAAUCGAUGAGAUCAAUGAUAGUUUGACUGUUCACAAUAAUGCUGCUUAUUGACCCAAAGUACGGCAUUUUAAUCCAAUUUUCCUUUACUCUGGUGACUGACAGUUCUGUGGCCUCAAAAUCCCUUUGUUAGGAGAGAAUGCUUUAUUUUAGCAGUCAGGUGGUGUGAGAUGGGUAUUUUUGUCCUCCAUGUGCUAUUGUUGUAAAUAUAUAAAGAGGGCAGACUUGGAGCUGUACAUGGGCUCCAGGGGACUGCUGACUGAUCUUCUCCCUCUAAUCUCUUCUUCUCUUCACUCCUUCUAAUCCUAUGCACUUUAUUUCUCUUAAUUUGAAACUUCAAUUAAUUGCAGAUUUGCAAGAUGGGGUUUCAGCACUAAACUUCUUAAAACCUGAUUAAUCUGGCUUAGUUGCUGCUACUUCCCUUCUUUUCUCUCCUCGUUAACUCUUAAAUAGAGAAUUCUUUAGGGUUUCAUCUCCUCUUCUCAGCCUUGAGCAACUCUUGUGGACGUUGAGUGGCUCAUGGUGGUUUGCUGAUGUAAAGACAGUCAAUACUGUUUCUUGCAGCUGGUGUUGCUGUUCUGAUGCUUCCUCUGAUUGGUUCUGGAGUGAUGGUAUUGUUAUGAUGCUGUGAGUGUACACAAUCUCCUAGUCAUGCCUGCAUAUGCUCGUAGCUGCUGCCAGGUUGUUUAUGAGUGUCCGCACUGCCAUUUAAGUGCCUGUUGUUGGGUCCAGCCCACAUAAGUAAAUAAAAAAAAAAAGAAAAGGGAAGCCCAUGUGCUUGAAGCCCAUUAGGGCAAUUAAAGGAGGCGGCAGUGUGGAGUGCUGCCACAGAGAUAAAAAAAAAUAAAAAAUGGAGCGCCGCAACCGUGAAAAAGAAGUGUGUGUGGCAGCGGUAGUGUGUUGUGCAGUCUUUAUCAAUUCGAUGAUCUGAAGGUCUUUUGUGAUCUUAUUUUGCUGAAAUUUGGAGAGCACGUUCGGAAUUUGUCGACCAUCGAUCUGGAAGGUGGAGAUCUAUUUCAGAGCUUUGGAGGACCUGAUUUUGUAGUACUAAUAGUAACUUCGUUCGGGUGACUUUUUUCCGCUCAUUCUUAUUUUAUCACGAUCCUUUUGGGAAUCCUUUUUACUCUAAGUUUGUGAGCAUUUUUGGUGAUUGUACUGCUGUAAUUUUUGCCUUUAUUAUAGUGAAAAAUUUAUUGGGUCUC